GGAAGGGCCAUCGCUCAACGGAUAAAAGCUACCCUGGGGAUAACAGGCUUAUCUCCCCCAAGAGUCCACAUCGACGGGGAGGUUUGGCCCCUCGAUGUCGGCUCAUCACAUCCUGGGGCUGUAGUAGGUCCCAAGGGUUGGGCUGUUCGCCCAUUAAAGUGGUACGCGAGCUGGGUUCAGAACGUCGUGAGACAGUUCGGUCCCUAUCCGUCGCAGGCGUAGGAAAUUUGAGAAG
This 235-nucleotide ribosomal RNA is filed under the name Clostridioides difficile. Its description in RNAcentral is "partial 23S ribosomal RNA". It matches the Rfam family "Bacterial large subunit ribosomal RNA", at positions 2435 to 2669 of the family's 2925-position model. Lineage: Bacteria; Bacillati; Bacillota; Clostridia; Peptostreptococcales; Peptostreptococcaceae. The record is from RNAcentral.